Molecule: long non-coding RNA, 531 nt
Organism: Acinonyx jubatus (cheetah)
Lineage: Eukaryota; Metazoa; Chordata; Mammalia; Carnivora; Felidae
Exons: 3
Source: RefSeq, a predicted model, not a curated record
UAGACCUAAGAGCCCCUGGCUGAGCCCGAGGAACGCUCGUCCAGGUCCCAGGUCCCUGGAGGGGGCAGCCGCGGCCCCGCGCCUCCCCCACCCCCCGACAGCCCCCGGAGAACUCACACCACCAGGCAAAUCCUCUGAAGUAACUCAAGAAAUGUAAAGAGGGAAGAAGUCCACAGUAGCAUUGGAAACGGAGAAUGAUACAAUAAAGGACCCAAAAAUAUGAAGGAAUUCCUGGAAGAAGUGAUGCAGAUGGAAUCAGAUCAGCAGAAAAGCUGAUCACGCUAAAGAGCCAGUGAUUUAACACAGGCGUACGACGGUGAUUCAACAACUCUACAUGUUCUGCUGUGCUCACCACAAGUGUAGCUACCGUGUGUCACCAUACAGUGCUGUCACAAUGCCACUGGUUACAAUCCCCGUUCUGUACCUUUCGUUCCCAUGACUUAUUUCGUCUAUCAAAAUUUUAAAUGCACGUCAUCUCGGAGCCAGUGAUUGUGCUAGGAACUUACCCAUUGACAUACCUGAAAAGCACAC